This is a long non-coding RNA of Hibiscus syriacus, 220 nucleotides long. RefSeq lists it as uncharacterized. The transcript is spliced from 3 exons. The record is from RefSeq and is a predicted model, not a curated record. Lineage: Eukaryota; Viridiplantae; Streptophyta; Magnoliopsida; Malvales; Malvaceae.
UAGGUCGUUACGAUACCCACUUCUACAGUAGAUGCUUGUCCCCAGGGAUCGAAAUUAGGAAAUUGUGAUUUCAGAACCGAAAAGUCUUCCUAGGAUACACUCGGAUUUGUCCAUCAGCAUUCACUUCCGAAGGAUCCUUGGAGGGACCAUAAUACCUUGCUGAGAGUUUAAGGUUCUUUCUCAGAGCAACUGAAGUCUGUCUAUAAGGUUGCAAUUUAAG